Molecule: ribosomal RNA, 406 nt
Filed under: uncultured bacterium
Lineage: Bacteria
Description: partial 16S ribosomal RNA
Rfam family: Bacterial small subunit ribosomal RNA
Source: RNAcentral
AUUGAACGCUGGCGGCAAGCCUAACACAUGCAAGUCGAACGAGUGGCGGACGGGUGAGUAAUGUCUGGGAAACUGCCUGAUGGAGGGGGAUAAAUACUGGACACGGUAGCUAAUACCGCAUACCAUCGGAUGUGCCCAGAUGGGAUUAGCUAGUAGGUGGGGUAAAGGCUCACCUAGGCGACUAUCCCUAGCUGGUCUGAGAGGAUGACCGUCCACACUGGAACUGGGACACGGUCCAGACUCCUACGUGAGGCAGCAGUGGGGAAUAUGGCACAAUGGGCGCAAUCCUGAUUCAGCCAUGCCGCGUGUAUGAAGAAGGCCUUCGGGUUGUAAAGUACUUUCAGCGGGGAGGCGUUACCCGCAGAAGAAGCACCGGCUAACUCCGUGCCAGCAGCCGCGGUAAUUC